GACGGAGGGUGCAAGCGUUGCUCGGAUUUACUGGGCGUAAAGAGCACGUAGGCGGCUCGGUAAGUCUGAUGUGAAAGCCCACGACUCAAUCGUGGAAGUGCAUUGGAUACUGCUGGGCUAGAAUGCAGGAGGGGUGAGCGGAAUUCCAGGUGUAGAGGUGAAAUUCGUAGAUAUCUGGAGGAACAACGGCGGCGAAGGCGGCUCACUGGACUGAUAUUGACGCUGAGGUGCGAAAGUGUGGGGAGCAAACGGG
RNAcentral lists this unclassified non-coding RNA (253 nucleotides) under uncultured delta proteobacterium. Its description in RNAcentral is "contains 16S-23S intergenic spacer region". It matches the Rfam family "Bacterial small subunit ribosomal RNA", at positions 524 to 776 of the family's 1533-position model. The record is from RNAcentral. Lineage: Bacteria; Deltaproteobacteria.